AAACAGCCUGGCCAACUGCUGAGGAAAAGCUGUACUUCAACAGAGCAAUAAGGAUGUCCGGAGUGGGGUUUUAAAGAGGUUAUCCUGCUGCUCAGCAGAGAUGCCAUUGCUUCUCAUGUGUGUGCAAAACUUGGCUCACACUAGAGAAUCACCCACUGGGUGAAGAAGCUGAAGAACAAGAAUCUGUGUGCUGCUUAUGUGAAGACAGCAAGCAAGCCUGCAAGAGGCAUGGCACAUCCAUUCAGACAGAGCCUAUCUUGGCAUCUCUUCUGUUCAUUCUUGUACCAAAAAAAAAAAAAAACUUCAAGAAAAAGAACACUUCUGAGAGAUAUCCACACC
Long non-coding RNA from Gallus gallus (chicken), 339 nucleotides. The record is from Ensembl. NCBI's taxonomy places the organism in Eukaryota, Metazoa, Chordata, Aves, Galliformes, Phasianidae.